Small nuclear RNA from Oryctolagus cuniculus (rabbit), 162 nucleotides. Its record names the gene U1. It matches the Rfam family "U1 spliceosomal RNA". Rfam says of the family: U1 is a small nuclear RNA (snRNA) component of the spliceosome (involved in pre-mRNA splicing). Its 5' end forms complementary base pairs with the 5' splice junction, thus defining the 5' donor site of an intron. NCBI's taxonomy places the organism in Eukaryota, Metazoa, Chordata, Mammalia, Lagomorpha, Leporidae. The record is from Ensembl.
AGACUUACCUGGCAGGGGAGAUACCAUGAUCAUGAAGGUGGUUUUCCCAGAGCGAGGCUCAUCCAUUGCAUUCCGGAUGUGCUGACCCCUGCAAUUUCCCCAAAUGUGGGAAACUCGACUGCAUAAUUUGUGGUAGUGGAAGACUGUGUUCAUGCUCUCCCC